AUCCAGCUGACGAGUCCCGAAUAGGACGAAACGCGCGUCAAGCUGGGU
RNAcentral lists this non-coding RNA (48 nucleotides) under Schistosoma mansoni. Lineage: Eukaryota; Metazoa; Platyhelminthes; Trematoda; Strigeidida; Schistosomatidae. The record is from RNAcentral.